UGGGGGAUAUUGCACAAUGGGCGAAAGCCUGAUGCAGCGACGCCGCGUGGGGGAUGAAGGCCUUCGGGUUGUAAACUUCUUUUGCUCUGAACAAGGCGCACCAUGGGGUGUGUUGAGUGUAGGGGUUGAUUAGCGCCGGCUAACUACGUGCCAGCAGCCGCGGUAAUACGUAGGGCGCGAGCGUUGUCCGGAAUUAUUGGGCGUAAAGGGCUUGUAGGUGGCUGGUUGCGUCUGUCGUGAAAGCUCAUGGCUUAACUGUGGGUUUGCGGUGGGUACGGGCUGGCUUGAGUGCAGUAGGGGGGGCUGGAAUUCCUGGUGUGGCGGUGGAAUGCGCAGAUAUCAGGAGGAAUACCGGUGGCGAGGGCGGGUCUCUGGGCUGUUACUGACACUGAGGAGCGAAAGCAUGGGGGGCGAACAGG
RNAcentral lists this ribosomal RNA (419 nucleotides) under bacterium. Its description in RNAcentral is "partial 16S ribosomal RNA". It matches the Rfam family "Bacterial small subunit ribosomal RNA", at positions 355 to 776 of the family's 1533-position model. The record is from RNAcentral.